GGUUGAUCCUGCCAGUAGUCAUAUGCUUGUCUUAAAGACUAAGCCAUGCAUGUCUAAGUAUAAGUAUUAUACAGCGAAACUGCGAAUGGCUCAUUAAAACAGUUAUAGUUUAUUCGAUUAUUUUCUCCUACAUGGAUAACCGUAGUAAUUCUAGAGCUAAUACAUGCUGUCAAACCUGACUUUUCGGAAGGGUUGUAUUUAUUAGAUAUAAAACCAAUACUCCUGUCAAAGGGAGCUUUGUGAUGAUUCAUAAUAACUGAGCGGAUCGCGGCCACGCCGCGACGAAUCGUUCA
Molecule: ribosomal RNA, 293 nt
Filed under: uncultured eukaryote
Lineage: Eukaryota
Description: partial 18S ribosomal RNA
Rfam family: Eukaryotic small subunit ribosomal RNA
Source: RNAcentral